RNAcentral lists this ribosomal RNA (348 nucleotides) under uncultured bacterium. RNAcentral's name for it is "partial 16S ribosomal RNA". It matches the Rfam family "Bacterial small subunit ribosomal RNA", at positions 338 to 683 of the family's 1533-position model. The record is from RNAcentral.
CCUACGGGAGGCAGCAGUGAGGAAUAUUGGUCAAUGGGCGCGAGCCUGAACCAGCCAAGUAGCGUGAAGGAUGACUGCCCUACGGGUUGUAAACUUCUUUUAUAAAGGAAUAAAGUGAGGCACGUGGGCCGUUUUGUAUGUACGUUAUGAAUAAGGAUCGGCUAACUCCGUGCCAGCAGCCGCGGUAAUACGGAGGAUCCGAGCGUUUUCCGGAUUUAUGGGGGUUAAAGGGAGCGUAGAGGGGUUGUUAAGUCAGUGGGGAAAGUUGGCGGCUCAACCGUAAAAUUGCAAUUGAUACUGGCAGUCUUGCGUACCGUUGCGGUCGGCGGACUUCGUGUUGUAGCGGUG